This 837-nucleotide small RNA is filed under the name Pongo abelii (Sumatran orangutan). RNAcentral's name for it is "retained intron". Lineage: Eukaryota; Metazoa; Chordata; Mammalia; Primates; Hominidae. The record is from RNAcentral.
AGAUGCUGUCGGGUGGCGACGGCGCUUGGCAGCCAGGAGCUCUGCAUUGAAGGCACUGGGGUAAAGUGAAUGCCGAAGACAGAAGAUUUGGAUGAUACACCACUGAAUUUCUUUGUUUGGAAUACACGUUAUGAACCCUUUCUGGAGCAUGUCUACAAGCUCUGUACGCAAACGAUCUGAAGGUGAAGAGAAGACAUUAACAGGGGACGUGAAAACCAGUCCUCCACGAACUGCACCAAAGAAACAGCUGCCUUCUAUUCCCAAAAAUGCUUUGCCCAUAACUAAGCCUACAUCUCCUGCCCCAGCAGCACAGUCAACAAAUGGCACGCAUGCGUCCUAUGGACCCUUCUACCUGGAAUACUCUCUUCUUGCAGAAUUUACCUUGGUUGUGAAGCAGAAGCUACCAGGCGUCUAUGUGCAGCCAUCUUAUCGCUCUGCAUUAAUGUGGUUUGGAGUAAUAUUCAUACGGCAUGGACUCUACCAAGAUGGCGUAUUUAAGUUUACAGUUUACAUCCCUGAUAACUAUCCAGAUGGUGACUGUCCAGUAAGUUGGAGACACAGUCUGGCUUCAUUUGUGGAUCAGCGAGAAGGGCUGAAAGGGCUUACAGCUUUCCUGGUUCUUUUCCUGACCUGGUACCUUUAUGAUUUAUCUACCCAGUAGUUGUCCAGGGGGACUUCUGUGCUUUGCAGCAGCUUCCAGCAUGCCAUCAGAGCUUUGUUUCUCUGCUCAGGGUCUGCAAGGGAGGCUGCUGCCUGCCAUCCUGCAGCACUCACCAGGUGAAUGGUGGCCCUCAGGCUCUAGUGGAGGAGAGGGAGUUUUCCCCGCUUCAUUGCAAA